This 3600-nucleotide unclassified non-coding RNA is filed under the name Hevea brasiliensis (rubber tree). Lineage: Eukaryota; Viridiplantae; Streptophyta; Magnoliopsida; Malpighiales; Euphorbiaceae. The record is from RNAcentral.
GUAAUUUUAAAUGAAAUGAUAAACAUUUAUUUUAAUAUCAUUACAUAAGUGCUAACACAAGUGUCAUGAUUGGCUAUCUGUCAAAGACAUUAAAUAAGAAUUCAGAUCGAAAAUGGAUGUAUGCUAGAUUGGAAAAUGGGUUCUUAAAUCCUAGGUUUAUAGCCGGGGUUGAGCAAUUUGUGGAGUUUGCUAAAAGGCAUCCACAGUACAUGGAUGGUGAAAAGAUAAGAUGUCCAUGUAAUCAUCAUAAGUGUCGGAAUAGGAAUUUUCUGGAUGAGAUUACAGUUAAAGUACAUCUUGGCACAUAUGGGUUUGUAGAAAAUUAUUAUUAUUGGUAUAACCAUGGGGAAACUUAUGUGCAGCAUCAAAAUGUACAGAAUGUUUCUCAAGAAGAAGUAUUUGUUCAAAAUGUUGAGCUUCAAACUAUAGAGCCCCAAUCUCACAAUGAAUUUCAGUCUAUGGUUUAUGAUAUUGUUGGGCCUUCUUAUGAUCCAAACUUUGAGGAGAACCCAAACCCAGUAGCAUAACAUCGUUAUGAUAUGCUCAGAGCAUCAGAGCAGGAAGUGUGGCUAGGAAAUCCCUACGGCCAUUCACAGUUGUCUGUCGUUGCUCCACUUCUGAAUCUAAAGGCAGAACACCAUUUUUUUGAAAGGUUAUAUGAUGAGUUAUGUUAAUUUCUAUCAGAAUUGAUGCCAGCUGAUAAUAUAAUGACAGAUAGCUUCUACAGUACAAAAAAACUAAUGCAAGGAUUAGGCUUACCAAUAGAAAAGAUUGAUUAUUGGAUUAAUGGUCGCAUGAUUUAUUGGCAUGGAGACAGUGAAUGGAAUAAUUGUAAGUUCUGUGGACACCCACGAUUUAAAAGAUCAAGACAUGGACCUUCCAGUCAAAAAACAAAUGUCUCUUAUAAGAAGAUGUACUACUUUCCUCUAACUCCGCAUCUACAAAGGUUGUAUGCGUCUGAUGCCACAACAAAGUAUAAGAGGUGGCAUGCUGAGCAUGAAAAAGAUAGCGUCAUGUCUCAUUGCUCAGACUCUCCUGCUUGGAAGCAUUUUGAUCAAAUGUAUCAAAGUUUCGCAUGUGAAACAAGAAAUGUCAGAUUAGGUUUAUGCACUGAUGGGUUUCAAUACUCUUCAUGGGCUGUGAUGGUUAUGCCAUACAACUUGCCACCGUGGAUGUGCAUGAAGGAUGAGUACAUGUUCUUAUUUGUGAUUAUGCUUGGCCUAAAAAAUCCUAAACAGAAGUUGGAUGUGUUCUUGCAGCCCCUCAUUGAUGAGUUGAAAGAUUUGUGGGAGGUGGGAGUCCAAACAUAUGAUGUUUCCAGUAAGAAGAAUUUUCAUAUGCGAGUUGCAUUGAUGUGGACAAUAAGUGAUUUUCCUGCAUACUCAAUGCUGUCAGGUUGGAGCACAGUGGGGAAGUAAGGUUGUCCUUAUUGUAAGGAGAACUCAGAUGCUUUUACUUUAACUAGCGGUGGAAAGACCUCAUGGUUUGACAAUUAUCGGAAGUUUUUGCCACCAGAUCAUCCAUUUAGAAGGAAUAAAAGGUGGUUUAGGAAGGGUCAAACAGUACAAAAGAUAGCAACAAUAAAACAAUUGGGUGAACAAAUAUUUAAGGAGAUUGAGGAUUUGGGACUCCAAAAAGUUACAGAAGUUGAUUCAGAAGGAAUCAAUGCUAGAAUUUCUAAGAAUUAUGGAUGUGAGUGGAAGAUAAGAAGUAUAUUUUGGGACUUGCCUUAUUGGAAAACAAAUCUCAUUAGGCAUAAUCUAGAUGUAAUGCACAUAGAAAAAAAUGUGUUUGAUAAUAUUUUCAAUACCGUUAUGAAUGUCCAGGGGAAAACAAAGGACAAUGCGAAGUCUAGAGCAAAUUUGAAAGUAUUUUGUCAUCGUCCAGAGUUACAUUGGGAUGAAAAUACCAAGAAAUUUCCUAAAGCUCCUCACACACUGGAUAAGAAUGCAAAAGAAGUGUUGUGUAAAUGGGUGAAAGAAUUGAGAUUUCCAGAUGGAUAUAUGUCUAACAAGGGAAGAUGUGUUGAUAUGAACAAGCUUAAAUUGUCUGACAUGAAGAGUCAUGAUUGUCAUGUCUUUAUGCAGCGACUAAUACCCAUAGCAUUUCAAGAGUUACUUCCAGGAAAUGUGUGGCAGUCAUUAACAGAAUUAAGUCUUUUCUUUAAAGAUCUCACUUCUAAUAUCAUAACAGAGGAAAAUAUGAGACGUCUCAAAAAAAAUAUUCCUUUUGUUUUGUGUAAGCUUGAGCGUAAUUUUCCUCCAAGCUUCUUUGACUCUACGGAACAUCUUCCAAUCCAUUUAGCUUAUGAAGGAUGUAUAGCGGGCCCAGUUCAAUAUCGAUGGAUGUAUUCAUUUGAGAGGUAAGUAACAAUAACUAUAUAAAAUCAUAUAAAACUUAUUGAAUGUAUCUAUUAAUUAUGUAUUCUUUAAUGUAGGUAUCUUCGAAAGUUGAAGAAUAAUGUAAAAAAUAAAGCAAAGGUUGAUGGUUCAAUAUGCAAUGCAUAUUUGGUUGAAGAAACUACAUCAUUUUAUGCACACUAUUUCAAGUCACAUGUUUCAACAAGGCAUAACAAAGUGCCCUGAAAUGUUUAUGGAUGUGGGAAAGAAGCAUAUGAACAACCAGGGAUGCUAUCUAUAUUGAAGCAAUUUGGACGAUCUUUUGGUCAAGAGAAAUCCAAGCAAUUAGAUGAUACAGAAUUUCAUUUAGCUCGCACCUAUAUUUUGCUGAAUUGCGAUGAAGUUAAACCAUAUAUUAAGUAAGUUAUUAAUGAUGUAGAUAUCAAAAUCAUUUACAUUUGAUGCUAGAUUAACUUUAAAUUUUUUUCUUAAAAGAAUCUAUGAAGAUACCUUAAGGCAAAGUCAACCAUUUAUUCAAGAUAGCGAGGUUGAUGCAAAACUUGAAACGGAGUUUGUAUCUUGGUUUGAGAAAUACAUGAGUAAUAAUUUAUAUAUAUUCUUUAUAUCCAUUAUUAGAACCAAAUUUUCUUACAUAUUAGCUAAUGCUUAUAAUUUGUCAAGAGGCACAUGAUCCUUUAUCGAACAUUGCCAACCAAAUCAUUAAAGACCUUGCAAAAGGUCCGUUGCAUAUUGUUAAGUCCUUUCAUGGAUAUUAUGUUAAUGGAUACAAGUUUCACACUGAAGGAUAUGGUUCAAGUAGGUCUACAAUAAACAGCGGAGUAUGCAUCAAGGGUUUUAGUUACAGUGCAAGUGAUCUUGAGUAUUAUGGCCGGUUGACAGAAAUAGUGCAAUUAGAGUACCCUGCAUUACCAAUCAAGCGAACCGUAUUAUUUAAGUGCACUUGGUUUGAUCCAACACCAAAACAUGGUACAAGAGAAUAUCCACAAUAUAAGCUUGUUGAAGUUAACAGCAAAAAGGCAUUUAACAGAUACGAGCCAUUUAUUUUGGCUACACAAGCUGCUCAAGUGUAUUAUGUAACCUAUCCUACAUGACAAGGACUGUGAAUGAAUGGUUUGCCGUUUGCAAAAUAAAGGCACGACCUAUUGUGGAGGUUUCAGAAAUAUCACAACAAUCCAUUGAUUUAGCAUUUCAAGAAGAUUGCAAUCAAGUGCAUGAAAUUGAUUUUCACAUGGAUAAAAUA